This 402-nucleotide long non-coding RNA is filed under the name Bos taurus (domestic cattle). Its description in RNAcentral is "long non-coding RNA NONBTAT001391". The record is from RNAcentral. Lineage: Eukaryota; Metazoa; Chordata; Mammalia; Artiodactyla; Bovidae.
CUUUGAUUUGAUCUGCCUUUUUGUUUCCUUUUCAUCUCUGAACAAAGGGGAUGAGUUCUCUUUUAUCUGCCUUUGAGCAAGCCUCUACCAAACUAGAAGUUCCCUGCAAGCAGAACCCAUGUCUGCUUCCACAGAACUUAACUCUGUGACUUCCUAUUAAUGGGGUGAAUUUUUACUUUGUGUUUAUAAGUGCAAUUUUUUUUUACCUAUACAUUUUAUCCUUGAUGUUACAUAUGUGUAUUGACAGGGAGCAGCUUCUGUUUGUUACAGUAAACUAUAGAGGCAAGAACCUUCAGAAAUAGCCCUUUAUACAAGGCAUUUAUACUGAGGACCAGUCUUUAAAAAUAAUUUAGCCCAGGAGUUUGGCAGUAAUUUUAAAACUCUUUGAGGAGGGCCAUAGCU